CAAACAUAACAUACAAUUGUAAAUAUGAAAUACCGUGGUGAAGGUCAAAAUAAGUGUAAUAAAAGGUAACAAAUAGGGCUAUGUUUUUAGAGACACUUUUGGUUUUGUUUUUUUGUUCUUUCUAACCAAAGAAAAAAAUCAAAAAAAAAAUCCAAAAAAAAAAAAACAAACCCAGAUUGGAACAAGGUUUACGAGAAAAACAGAC
This 205-nucleotide long non-coding RNA is filed under the name Mytilus galloprovincialis (Mediterranean mussel). The record is from RNAcentral. Lineage: Eukaryota; Metazoa; Mollusca; Bivalvia; Mytilida; Mytilidae.